AUUAGGUUGAUGCAAAAGUAAUUGCAGUUUUUGCUAUUAUUUUCAAUGGCAAAGCCUGCAAUGACUUUUUCACCAACCUAGAUA
This is a microRNA precursor of Rhinopithecus bieti (black snub-nosed monkey), 84 nucleotides long. Lineage: Eukaryota; Metazoa; Chordata; Mammalia; Primates; Cercopithecidae. The record is from Ensembl.